This 575-nucleotide ribosomal RNA is filed under the name Saccharomyces cerevisiae (brewer's yeast). Its description in RNAcentral is "eukaryotic LSU rRNA". It matches the Rfam family "Eukaryotic large subunit ribosomal RNA", at positions 58 to 647 of the family's 3401-position model. Lineage: Eukaryota; Fungi; Ascomycota; Saccharomycetes; Saccharomycetales; Saccharomycetaceae. The record is from RNAcentral.
AAAGAAACCAACCGGGAUUGCCUUAGUAACGGCGAGUGAAGCGGCAAAAGCUCAAAUUUGAAAUCUGGUACCUUCGGUGCCCGAGUUGUAAUUUGGAGAGGGCAACUUUGGGGCCGUUCCUUGUCUAUGUUCCUUGGAACAGGACGUCAUAGAGGGUGAGAAUCCCGUGUGGCGAGGAGUGCGGUUCUUUGUAAAGUGCCUUCGAAGAGUCGAGUUGUUUGGGAAUGCAGCUCUAAGUGGGUGGUAAAUUCCAUCUAAAGCUAAAUAUUGGCGAGAGACCGAUAGCGAACAAGUACAGUGAUGGAAAGAUGAAAAGAACUUUGAAAAGAGAGUGAAAAAGUACGUGAAAUUGUUGAAAGGGAAGGGCAUUUGAUCAGACAUGGUGUUUUGUGCCCUCUGCUCCUUGUGGGUAGGGGAAUCUCGCAUUUCACUGGGCCAGCAUCAGUUUUGGUGGCAGGAUAAAUCCAUAGGAAUGUAGCUUGCCUCGGUAAGUAUUAUAGCCUGUGGGAAUACUGCCAGCUGGGACUGAGGACUGCGACGUAAGUCAAGGAUGCUGGCAUAAUGGUUAUAUGCCG